UACGAAGGGGGCUAGCGUUGCUCGGAGUCACUGGGCGUAAAGGGCGCGUAGGCGGCCGAUCAAGUCAGGGGUGAAAGCCUGUGGCUCAACCACAGAAUUGCCUUUGAUACUGUUUGGCUAGAGACCGGAAGAGGUCAGUGGAACUGCGAGUGUAGAGGUGAAAUUCGUAGAUAUUCGCAAGAACACCAGUGGCGAAGGCGGCUGACUGGUCCGGUUCUGACGCUGAGGCGCGAAAGCGUGGGGAGCAAACAGG
Molecule: ribosomal RNA, 253 nt
Filed under: uncultured bacterium
Lineage: Bacteria
Description: partial 16S ribosomal RNA
Rfam family: Bacterial small subunit ribosomal RNA
Source: RNAcentral